Molecule: ribosomal RNA, 253 nt
Filed under: uncultured bacterium
Lineage: Bacteria
Description: partial 16S ribosomal RNA
Rfam family: Bacterial small subunit ribosomal RNA
Source: RNAcentral
UACGUAGGGUGCGAGCGUUAAUCGGAAUUACUGGGCGUAAAGCGUGCGCAGGCGGUGAUGUAAGACAGAUGUGAAAUCCCCGGGCUCAACCUGGGAACUGCAUUUGUGACUGCAUCGCUGGAGUGCGGCAGAGGGGGAUGGAAUUCCGCGUGUAGCAGUGAAAUGCGAAGAUAUGCGGAGGAACACCGAUGGCGAAGGCAAUCCCCUGGGCCUGCACUGACGCUCAUGCACGAAAGCGUGGGGAGCAAACAGG